UACGGGGGGGGCAAGCGUUGUUCGGAAUUACUGGGCGUAAAGGGCGCGUAGGCGGCCUGCUAAGUCGGAUGUGAAAUCCCUCGGCUCAACCGAGGAACUGCAUCCGAUACUGGCGGGCUUGAAUCCGGGAGAGGGAUGUGGAAUUCCAGGUGUAGCGGUGAAAUGCGUAGAUAUCAGGAGGAACACCGGUGGCGAAGGCGGGAUCCUGGGCCAGUACUGACGCUGAGGAGCGAAAGCGUGGGGAGCAAACAGG
RNAcentral lists this ribosomal RNA (253 nucleotides) under uncultured bacterium. RNAcentral describes it as "partial 16S ribosomal RNA". It matches the Rfam family "Bacterial small subunit ribosomal RNA", at positions 524 to 776 of the family's 1533-position model. The record is from RNAcentral.